GGGAGACAGGUGGUGCAUGGUUGUCGUCAGCUCGUGUCGUGAGAUGUUGGGUUAAGUCCCGCAACGAGCGCAACCCUUACCCACAGUAGCCAGCACAAAAGGUGGGCACUCUGUGGGGACUGCCGGGGGCAACCCGGAGGAAGGUGGGGAUGACGUCAAAUCAUCAUGCCCCUUAUGGCCGGGGCUACACACGUGCUACAAUGGCGUAAACAAAGGGAAGCGAGAGAGUGAUCUUAAGCGAAACUCAAAAAUAACGUCCCAGUUCGGAUUGCAGUCUGCAACUCGACUGCAUGAAGCUGGAAUCGCUAGUAAUCGCGGAUCAGAAUGCCGCGGUGAAUACGUUCCCGGGUCUUGUACACACCGCCCGUCACACCAUGGGAGCCGGGAAUGCCCGAAGUCGGUGACCUAACCUGAAAAGGGAGGAGCCGCCGAAGGCAGGUCUGGUGACUGGGGUGAAGUCGUAACAAGGUAGCCGUAUCGGAAGGUGCGGCUGGAUCACCUC
Molecule: ribosomal RNA, 502 nt
Filed under: uncultured bacterium
Lineage: Bacteria
Description: bacterial SSU rRNA
Rfam family: Bacterial small subunit ribosomal RNA
Source: RNAcentral